GCCUUGGGUGACAGCGGAGGUCAUUA
This 26-nucleotide ribosomal RNA is filed under the name Fusarium oxysporum. Its description in RNAcentral is "partial 18S ribosomal RNA". The record is from RNAcentral. Lineage: Eukaryota; Fungi; Ascomycota; Sordariomycetes; Hypocreales; Nectriaceae.